RNAcentral lists this small nucleolar RNA (131 nucleotides) under Hucho hucho (huchen). RNAcentral describes it as "Small nucleolar RNA SNORA30/SNORA37 family (ENSHHUG00000043185.1)". The record is from RNAcentral. Lineage: Eukaryota; Metazoa; Chordata; Actinopteri; Salmoniformes; Salmonidae.
ACAGCAUCUUUAACAGGUCUAGGCCUCAGUGCAGUAGGCCAAGAUUUGGUAGCUGGUGCUGACAGGUCUCUCCCUGUAACAUUCCAUUGAGUACUGCUGUCUGUUGGGGACACUCAAGGAGAAGAACAUCU